RNAcentral lists this ribosomal RNA (254 nucleotides) under uncultured bacterium. RNAcentral's name for it is "partial 16S ribosomal RNA". It matches the Rfam family "Bacterial small subunit ribosomal RNA", at positions 524 to 776 of the family's 1533-position model. The record is from RNAcentral.
UACGGAGGGGGCUAGCGUUGUUCGGAAUUACUGGGCGUAAAGAGCGCGCAGGCGGUCGUUCAAGUCGCGUGUGAAAGCCCCCGGCUCAACUGGGGAGGGUCACGCGAUACUGAUCGACUCGAAGGCAGGAGAGGGUAGUGGAAUUCCCGGUGUAGUGGUGAAAUGCGUAGAUAUCGGGAGGAACACCAGUGGCGAAGGCGACUACCUGGCCUGUUUCUUGACGCUGAGGCGCGAAAGCUAGGGGAGCAAACGGG